RNAcentral lists this ribosomal RNA (724 nucleotides) under uncultured prokaryote. Its description in RNAcentral is "bacterial SSU rRNA". It matches the Rfam family "Bacterial small subunit ribosomal RNA", at positions 28 to 780 of the family's 1533-position model. The record is from RNAcentral.
GAUGAACGCUGGCGGCGUGCCUAACACAUGCAAGUCGAGCGAUUCUCUUCGGAGAAGAGCGGCGGACGGGUGAGUAACGCGUGGGUAACCUGCCCUAUACACAUGGAUAACAUACCGAAAGGUAUGCUAAUACAGGAUAACAUAAGAGAUUCGCAUGGAUUUCUUAUCAAAGCUCCGGCGGUAUAGGAUGGACCCGCGUCUGAUUAGCUAGUUGGUAAGGUAACGGCUUACCAAGGCGACGAUCAGUAGCCGACCUGAGAGGGUGAUCGGCCACAUUGGAACUGAGACACGGUCCAAACUCCUACGGGAGGCAGCAGUGGGGAAUAUUGCACAAUGGGCGAAAGCCUGAUGCAGCAACGCCGCGUGAGUGAUGAAGGCCUUCGGGUCGUAAAACUCUGUCCUCAAGGAAGAUAAUGACGGUACUUGAGGAGGAAGCCCCGGCUAACUACGUGCCAGCAGCCGCGGUAAUACGUAGGGGGCUAGCGUUAUCCGGAUUUACUGGGCGUAAAGGGUGCGUAGGUGGUUUUUUAAGUCAGGAGUGAAAGGCUACGGCUCANCCGUAGUAAGCUCUUGAAACUGAGAAACUUGAGUGCAGGAGAGGAAAGUGGAAUUCCUAGUGUAGCGGUGAAAUGCGUAGAUAUUAGGAGGAACACCAGUAGCGAAGNNGGCUUUCUGGACUGUAGCUGANACUGAGGCACGAAAGCGUGGGGAGCAAACAGGAUUA